CGACCUCCCAAGUCCAUGAACCACCUUGAUCUGAAAAAGCUGAGGACCUCCAAUCUGAUAUCAUCCUCACUAUCAAUCCGUUGACGCUCAGCACUCCUCAACAUCCUGAUUGGGUUCCUCUAUCACUUGAUGAUAGUUGUCUAAUGAAAGAAUCUGAUAUUUUUAUCACCCUCCCGCAACCACUGGACCCUAGACUUCUGCCACC
Molecule: long non-coding RNA, 205 nt
Filed under: Elaeis guineensis (African oil palm)
Lineage: Eukaryota; Viridiplantae; Streptophyta; Magnoliopsida; Arecales; Arecaceae
Description: long non-coding RNA (EGUI_LNC055843)
Source: RNAcentral